RNAcentral lists this ribosomal RNA (492 nucleotides) under uncultured bacterium. RNAcentral describes it as "partial 16S ribosomal RNA". It matches the Rfam family "Bacterial small subunit ribosomal RNA", at positions 29 to 507 of the family's 1533-position model. The record is from RNAcentral.
AGUGAACGCUGGCGGUAGGCCUAACACAUGCGAGUCGAACGGCAGCACAGUAAGAGCUUGCUCUUACGGGUGGCGAGUGGCGGACGGGUGAGGAAUACAUCGGAAUCUACUUUUUCGUGGGGGAUAACGUAGGGAAACUUACGCUAAUACCGCAUACGACCUACGGGUGAAAGCAGGGGAUCUUCGGACCUUGCGCGAUUGAAUGAGCCGAUGUCGGAUUAGCUAGUUGGCGGGGUAAAGGCCCACCAAGGCGACGAUCCGUAGCUGGUCUGAGAGGAUGAUCAGCCACACUGGAACUGAGACACGGUCCAGGCUCCUACGGGAGGCAGCAGUGGGGAAUAUUGGACAAUGGGCGCAAGCCUGAUCCAGCCAUACCGCGUGGGUGAAGAAGGCCUUCGGGUUGUAAAGCCCUUUUGUUGGGAAAGAAAAGCAGCAGGUUAAUACCCCGCUGUUCUGACGGUACCCAAAGAAUAAGCACCGGCUAACUUCGUG